UGCCGCCGUAUACGGACCCGUACGUACGGUGGCUGGAGGGGACGGCAUAGGAAAUAAUCCUAUGCCUCCUACUCACU
This 77-nucleotide non-coding RNA is filed under the name Chitinophaga sp. S165. The record is from RNAcentral. Lineage: Bacteria; Pseudomonadati; Bacteroidota; Chitinophagia; Chitinophagales; Chitinophagaceae.